Long non-coding RNA from Homo sapiens (human), 1634 nucleotides. RefSeq annotates it as CCR5 antisense RNA. Lineage: Eukaryota; Metazoa; Chordata; Mammalia; Primates; Hominidae. The record is from RefSeq and is marked validated. The transcript is spliced from 4 exons.
ACUCUGAGUAGGUAACAGGUACCAGCUACUGUCAGCAGGGAGGAAGGUAUGUGGUGACCACGAGUCCAGACCUGAGGGUCCUGACCCUCUAAUGCGGCCUCUCACCAGUGUUCGCAGAAACCCACCCGCUGAUUCAAUACGGGGACCAGGAACCUGCCAUGACAGUCACGACUCAGUCUGCCUGCACCUACAUGAUUAAAAAGCUUUAUUGCUCACACAAAGCCUGUUUGGUGGUCUCUUCAUAUGGAUGCGCAUAACAUUUGGUGCCGAAGACCCCGGACAGGGUGACUCCUUCGGGAGAUUGGUCCCCUCUCCUCACCCUCACUCCAUGAGAAGAUCCACCUACGACCUCAGGUCCUCAGACCAGCCCAAGGAACAUCUCACCAAUUUCAAACCGGGCUUCCCUCUUGUCUGGAGGAAAAAGAAAAAAGAGAACCAGACUUAGACACAACUUCUUGUGGGCACAUAUUCAGAAGGCAUCUCACUGGAGAGGGUUUAGUUCUCCUUAGCAGAAGAUAAGAUUUCAAGAUUUCAGCUAAGACUCAUCUCUCUGCAAAUCUUUCUUUUGAGAGCAUCUUCACCAGGAGGAGAUUCCAUCUCAAGAGACCACUUUCACUGCUCAUAUGUAAGAAGCAACUCUUCAUCUGUUCAAGUUUGAUCAUGAGAGUGCGGCAAUUCAGUCACAACUUCAGGCUCCACUUCUAGUUCUAGUUCUCUUGCUGUUUCCACCACAUCUACAGCGACUUCCUCCACUGAAGACGUGAACCCCUGAAAGUCAUCUAUGGGGGUUGGAAUCAAUGUCUUUCACACUCCUGUUAAUGUUGGUAUUUUGACCUCCUCCCAUGAAUUACAAAUGUUCCUAAUGGCAUCUAGAAUAAUGACUACUUUCCAGAAGCUUUUCAAUUUGCUUUGCUCAGAUCCAUCAAUGGAAUCACUAUCAAUGGUAGCUAUAUAAACUAUAUAAGGCUAUAUAUAUAUAUAUAGCUAUUUCUUAAUAGCCUUAUGAAAUAUAUUUCUUAAUAAGACUUGAAAGUCUUGGUCCAUGGACUGCAGAAUGGAUGUUUGUGUUAGCAGGGAUGAAAACAACAUGAAUAUUCUCGUACAUCUCCAACACAGCUCUUGAUCGACAUGGUGCAGAGCAGUAAUAUUUUGAAAGGAAUCUUUUUUUCUGAGCAAUAGUUCUCAAUAGUGGGCUUGAAAUAUUCAGUAAACCAUGCUGUAAACAGAUGUGUUGUCAUCCAGGCUUUAUUGUUCCAUUUAUGGAGCACAGAUAGAGUAGAUUUCGCAUAAUUCUUAAUGACACCAGGAUUUACAAAAUAGUAAAUGAACAUUUACUUCAACUUAAAGUCAUCAGCUGCAUUCACCUCUAAAAAGAGAGUCAGCCUGUCCUGUGGAGCUUUGCAGCUUGCCUUGACAUCUCCUCUCUAGCUGUGAAAGUCCUGGAUGGCAUCUUCUUCCAACAUAAGACUGUUUUGUCUACACUGAAAAUCUGUUGUUUCGUGUAGACACUUUCAUCAAUUAUCUUAUCUAGAUUUUCUGGAUAACUUGCCACAGCUUCUCCCUUUGCACUUGCUGCUUCAUCUUGCAUUUUUAUGUUAUGGAGAUGUUGUCUUUCAUUAAACCUCACAAACCAA